GUUUCCGGUGCGCGCGCAUAACGGGCGUCCCUUCUGAGUGGAUCGCCAGAUGUAAGCUGCAAGUUUUCAUGUGUGUUGAUUGUAAUCAGAUUGUGAGCUAACUACACCCCAAAGGCUAUUUUAAUAGCCACAGC
Long non-coding RNA from Sinocyclocheilus anshuiensis, 134 nucleotides. RefSeq lists it as uncharacterized. The transcript is spliced from 3 exons. The record is from RefSeq and is a predicted model, not a curated record. NCBI's taxonomy places the organism in Eukaryota, Metazoa, Chordata, Actinopteri, Cypriniformes, Cyprinidae.